This 331-nucleotide unclassified non-coding RNA is filed under the name soil metagenome. RNAcentral's name for it is "partial contains 5.8S ribosomal RNA, internal transcribed spacer 2, and large subunit ribosomal RNA". The stretch from base 1 to 120 matches the Rfam family "5.8S ribosomal RNA", at positions 35 to 154 of the family's 154-position model. The record is from RNAcentral.
GAUGAAGAACGUAGCUAAAUGCGAUAAGUAAUGUGAAUUGCAGAAUUCAGUGAAUCAUCGAAUCUUUGAACGCACAUUGCGCCCUCUGGUAUUCCGGGGGGCAUGCCUGUUCGAGCGUCAUUAUAACCACUCAAGCUCUCGCUUGGUAUUGGGGUUCGCGGUUUCGCGGCCCCUAAAAUCAGUGGCGGUGCCUGUCGGCUCUACGCGUAGUAAUACUCCUCGCGAUUGAGUCCGGUAGGUCUACUUGCCAGCAACCCCUAAUUUUUUUUAAGGUUGACCUCGGAUCAGGUAGGGAUACCCGCUGAACUUAAGCAUAUCAAUAAGCGGAGGA